This 367-nucleotide ribosomal RNA is filed under the name uncultured bacterium. RNAcentral describes it as "partial 16S ribosomal RNA". It matches the Rfam family "Bacterial small subunit ribosomal RNA", at positions 338 to 722 of the family's 1533-position model. The record is from RNAcentral.
CCUACGGGAGGCAGCAGUAGGGAAUUUUGCGCAAUGGGCGAAAGCCUGACGCAGCAACACCGCGUGAAUGUUAAGCCCUUCGGGGUGUAAAGUUCUGUCAAUAGGGACGAAUUUUGACUGUACCUAUAAAGGAAGCACCGGCUAACUCCGUGCCAGCAGCCGCGGUAAUACGGGGGGUGCAAGCGUUGUCCGGAAUCAUUGGGCGUAAAGCGUUCGUAGGCGGCAAGGUAAGUCUGAUGUUAAAGCCAGGGGCUCAACUCCGGUUCGGCAUUGGAUACUAUCUAGCUAGAGAGUGGUAGAGGUAGGGGGAAUGCAUGGUGUAGCGGUGAAAUGCGUAGAGAUCAGACGGAACAUCGAUGGCGAAAGC